UAAACAGUUGUUUAUAUAGCUGAGCUCC
RNAcentral lists this non-coding RNA (28 nucleotides) under Rattus norvegicus (Norway rat). The record is from RNAcentral. Lineage: Eukaryota; Metazoa; Chordata; Mammalia; Rodentia; Muridae.